Molecule: ribosomal RNA, 484 nt
Filed under: uncultured bacterium
Lineage: Bacteria
Description: partial 16S ribosomal RNA
Rfam family: Bacterial small subunit ribosomal RNA
Source: RNAcentral
AUUGAACGCUGGCGGCAGGCCUAACACAUGCAAGUCGAGCGGAUGAAGGGAGCUUGCUCCUGGAUUCAGCGGCGGACGGGUGAGUAAUGCCUAGGAAUCUGCCUGGUAGUGGGGGAUAACGUCCGGAAACGGGCGCUAAUACCGCAUACGUCCUGAGGGAGAAAGUGGGGGAUCUUCGGACCUCACGCUAUCAGAUGAGCCUAGGUCGGAUUAGCUAGUUGGUGGGGUAAAGGCCUACCAAGGCGACGAUCCGUAACUGGUCUGGGAGGAUGAGCAGUCACACUGGAACUGAGACACGGUCCAGACUCCUACGGGAGGCAGCAGUGGGGAAUAUUGGACAAUGGGCGAAAGCCUGAUCCAGCCAUGCCGCGUGUGUGAAGAAGGUCUUCGGAUUGUAAAGCACUUUAAGUUGGGAGGAAGGGCAGUAAGUUAAUACCUUGCUGUUUUGACGUUACCAACAGAAUAAGCACCGGCUAACUUCGUG